RNAcentral lists this ribosomal RNA (271 nucleotides) under uncultured archaeon. RNAcentral's name for it is "partial 16S ribosomal RNA". It matches the Rfam family "Archaeal small subunit ribosomal RNA", at positions 477 to 747 of the family's 1478-position model. The record is from RNAcentral.
CAGCGCCACGAGUGGGAACUAUAAUUAUUGGGCCUAAAGCGUCCGUAGCCUGUUUAAUAAAUUUCUUGUGAAAUUGUUAAGCUUAACUUAACAACGUGCAGGAAAGACUGUUAAACUUGGGACUGGGAGGGGUUAGAAGUAUCUUUGGGGUAGCGGUAAAAUGUUAUAAUCCUAAAGAGACUACCAAUGGCGAAGGCAUCUAACCAGAACAGGUCCGACGGUGAGGGACGAAAGCUAGGGGAGCGAACCGGAUUAGAUACCCGAGUAGUCC